RNAcentral lists this ribosomal RNA (438 nucleotides) under uncultured bacterium. RNAcentral describes it as "bacterial SSU rRNA". It matches the Rfam family "Bacterial small subunit ribosomal RNA", at positions 75 to 507 of the family's 1533-position model. The record is from RNAcentral.
CUAGCUUGCUAGUAGGCGUCGAGUGGCGGACGGGUGAGUAACGCGUAGGAAUCUGCCUGAUAGUGGGGGAUAGCCCGGAGAAAUUCGGAUUAAUACCGCAUAAUCUAUUCGUAGUAAAGUGGGGGACUUUCGAGCCUCACGCUAUCAGAUGAGCCUGCGUAAGAUUGGCUUGUUGGUAGGGUAAAAGCCUACCAAGGCGACGAUCUUUAGCUGGUCUGAGAGGAUGAUCAGCCACAUCGGGACUGAGACACGGCCCGAACUCCUACGGGAGGCAGCAGUGGGGAAUAUUGGACAAUGGGGGCAACCCUGAUCCAGCAAUACCGCGUGUGUGAAGAAGGCCUGAGGGUUGUAAAGCACUUUCAAUUGUGAAGAAAAGUUAACGGUUAAUAACCGUUAGCCUUGACGUUAACUUUAGAAGAAGCACCGGCUAACUCCGUG